CGAGCGUCAUUUCAACUCUCAAGCCUAAGCUUGGUCUUGGGUGCUACCUAGCUGGUGCAUCUCAAAAGUAGUGGCGGUGCCAAUUCAGCUUCAAGUGUAGUAAAUAUCUCGCUCCUGGAGUUUUGGGUGUUGCAUCUUGCCAGAACCCUAAAUUAUAUAAGGUUGACCUCGGAUCAGGUAGGGAUACCCGCUGAACUUAA
Molecule: unclassified non-coding RNA, 200 nt
Filed under: soil metagenome
Description: partial contains internal transcribed spacer 2 and large subunit ribosomal RNA
Source: RNAcentral